This 245-nucleotide long non-coding RNA is filed under the name Hordeum vulgare. RNAcentral describes it as "long non-coding RNA (HVUL_LNC020117)". Lineage: Eukaryota; Viridiplantae; Streptophyta; Magnoliopsida; Poales; Poaceae. The record is from RNAcentral.
ACCACAACCACGACCACGACCACGACCACCACCACAACCACAACCACGACCACGACCACGACAACGACAACGACAACGACAACGACAACGACAACGACAACGACAACGACACCGACAACGACAACGACAACAACAACCACAACAACAACAACAACAACAACAACCACAACAACCACAACAACAACAACAACCACAACAACCACAACCACAACAACAACAACAACAACAACAACAACAACAACAAC